RNAcentral lists this ribosomal RNA (429 nucleotides) under Verrucomicrobiota bacterium. RNAcentral's name for it is "Verrucomicrobia bacterium partial 16S ribosomal RNA". It matches the Rfam family "Bacterial small subunit ribosomal RNA", at positions 355 to 776 of the family's 1533-position model. The record is from RNAcentral. Lineage: Bacteria; Pseudomonadati; Verrucomicrobiota.
UAGGGAAUCUUCCGCAAUGGACGAAAGUCUGACGGAGCAACGCCGCGUGAGUGAAGAAGGAUUUCGGUUCGUAAAACUCUGUUGUUAGGGAAGAAAAAAUGUAUAGUAACUAUAUACAAAAGAGACGGUACCUAACCAGAAAGCCACGGCUAACUACGUGCCAGCAGCCGCGGUAAUACGUAGGUGGCAAGCGUUGUCCGGAAUUAUUGGGCGUAAAGCGCGCGCAGGUGGUUUAGAAAGUCUGAUGUGAAAGCCCACGGCUCAACCGUGGAGGGUCAUUGGAAACUAAUAAACUUGAGUGCAGGAGAGAAAAGUGGAAUUCCUAGUGUAGCGGUGAAAUGCGUAGAGAUUAGGAGGAACACCGGUGGCGAAGGCGACUUACUGGGCUCAUUCUGACGCUGAGGAACGAAAGCGUGGGUAGCAAACAGG